UUUAUUUUCUAGGACUUAUAA
RNAcentral lists this non-coding RNA (21 nucleotides) under Caenorhabditis elegans. Lineage: Eukaryota; Metazoa; Nematoda; Chromadorea; Rhabditida; Rhabditidae. The record is from RNAcentral.